AUCACUUCCGUCAAAUGAAAAUUCUGACUCAUACUAAUUCACUGUGACCGAUCAUUGGGAAUUCAAGAAAUAAACUGGAUCUACAUGUUAAUUGGAAUUAUUGCAAUGUGCCUCAUGUACCAGAAAAGAAAGGAGCCUGAAUUUCUUCUUCUUGCCUGGGGACGUGGACUGAUCCAUCUGGCUGGUCCUUUCCAGGUCUAAAGGAAGGUCUGAUUGAGCCAGAAUGAUUACCUACGCAAGACUUCUUUAUGGUUUUCUUUUUAAUCAUCAAGCCUGGAUAAAAUUGCCUAUUGAUUGACCUUAAAUGAAAUCUACUUUAACCUGGGAACUCCAUUAAGAGAAUAAUUCAGGAGGCCAUCUCUCCACCAACUCAUUGUUAAUCUCCCUGCCUUGGAAUUAAUGAUGCAUAGCAUUCCAAGAGACUCGUAAUUCCUAACAAGUUUAAAUAUUUAUCUGAACUCCUGGAAACCUUGUACUAUUCUUCUUAUGCACUAGC
RNAcentral lists this long non-coding RNA (496 nucleotides) under Fukomys damarensis (Damara mole-rat). RNAcentral describes it as "lncRNA (ENSFDAG00000023779.1)". The record is from RNAcentral. Lineage: Eukaryota; Metazoa; Chordata; Mammalia; Rodentia; Bathyergidae.